UACAGAGGUCCCGAGCGGUGUUCGGAUUCACUGGGCGUAAAGGGUGCGUAGGUGGUGAGGUAAGUCGGAUGUGAAAUCUCCGGGCUCAACCCGGAAAUGGCAUUGGAAACUACCUUGCUAGAGGAUUUGAGGGGGGAUUGGAAUACUUGGUGUAGCAGUGAAAUGCGUAGAUAUCAAGUGGAACACCAGUGGCGAAGGCGAAUCCCUGGAAAAUACCUGACACUGAGGCACGAAAGCUAGGGGAGCAAACAGG
RNAcentral lists this ribosomal RNA (253 nucleotides) under uncultured bacterium. RNAcentral's name for it is "partial 16S ribosomal RNA". It matches the Rfam family "Bacterial small subunit ribosomal RNA", at positions 524 to 776 of the family's 1533-position model. The record is from RNAcentral.